Molecule: ribosomal RNA, 20 nt
Filed under: Bryoria cf. implexa
Lineage: Eukaryota; Fungi; Ascomycota; Lecanoromycetes; Lecanorales; Parmeliaceae
Description: partial 18S small subunit ribosomal RNA
Source: RNAcentral
UACCGGUUGUUCGCGGUUGU